Molecule: ribosomal RNA, 253 nt
Filed under: uncultured bacterium
Lineage: Bacteria
Description: partial 16S ribosomal RNA
Rfam family: Bacterial small subunit ribosomal RNA
Source: RNAcentral
UACGUAGGGGGCUAGCGUUGUCCGGAAUCAUUGGGCGUAAAGAGCGUGUAGGCGGCUUGGUAGGUCCGCUGUGAAAACUCGAGGCUCAACCUCGAGAUGUCGGCGGAAACCACUUGGCUAGAGUCCGGAAGAGGAGAGUGGAAUUCCCGGUGUAGCGGUGAAAUGCGCAGAUAUCGGGAAGAACACCUAUGGCGAAGGCAGCUCUCUGGGACGGUACUGACGCUGAGACGCGAAAGCGUGGGGAGCGAACAGG